Molecule: ribosomal RNA, 720 nt
Filed under: uncultured bacterium
Lineage: Bacteria
Description: bacterial SSU rRNA
Rfam family: Bacterial small subunit ribosomal RNA
Source: RNAcentral
UCGACCGGCGCACGGGUGAGUAACGCGUAUCCAACCUGCCUCUGACUAAGGGAUAACCCGGCGAAAGUCGGACUAAUACCUUAUGAGGUUUUCAGCAGACAUCUAACGAAAACGAAAGAUUUAUCGGUCAGUGAUGGGGAUGCGUCUGAUUAGCUUGUUGGCGGGGUAACGGCCCACCAAGGCAACGAUCAGUAGGGGUUCUGAGAGGAAGGUCCCCCACAUUGGAACUGAGACACGGUCCAAACUCCUACGGGAGGCAGCAGUGAGGAAUAUUGGUCAAUGGGCGAGAGCCUGAACCAGCCAAGUAGCGUGCAGGAUGACGGCCCUAUGGGUUGUAAACUGCUUUUGUAUGGGGAUAAAGUCAAUCACGUGUGAUUGUUUGCAGGUACCAUACGAAUAAGGACCGGCUAAUUCCGUGCCAGCAGCCGCGGUAAUACGGAAGGUCCGGGCGUUAUCCGGAUUUAUUGGGUUUAAAGGGAGCGUAGGCUGGAGAUUAAGUGUGUUGUGAAAUGUAGACGCUCAACGUCUGACUUGCAGCGCAUACUGGUUUCCUUGAGUACGCACAACGUUGGCGGAAUUCGUCGUGUAGCGGUGAAAUGCUUAGAUAUGACGAAGAACUCCGAUUGCGAAGGCAGCUGACGGGAGCGCAACUGACGCUGAAGCUCGAAGGUGCGGGUAUCGAACAGGAUUAGAUACCCUGGUAGUCCGCACAGUAAACGA